Molecule: long non-coding RNA, 2458 nt
Organism: Mesocricetus auratus (golden hamster)
Lineage: Eukaryota; Metazoa; Chordata; Mammalia; Rodentia; Cricetidae
Exons: 2
Source: RefSeq, a predicted model, not a curated record
UUUCCUGAUGGGACUCUAUUCUGGUUUCUGUUUUUCUCUGGGUUGACAGAGAAAGAGGAGAUGGCUUCUACGUCAUGGGGUUUUCCCAGCAAUUAGCCUCGAAGCAAACAGACAGCGAACUGGGACUUAAUGAGUUCCUUCCCGCCCUGCUCCUUCCCCAUCCCGCUUGGUUAGCUGCCAGCCAGGGUUAGAGCUGGACACGGUCCCUGUAGUACAGCCUCCUCCAACUGUGAGGGAUGGGAGACCAUGAGAACCGGGCACCAGGCUGGCAGACACCAGUUCCCAGUUAGUCAUCUCUGGCCUUGACUCCACAAAGCCCUUUCUUCAUCCAGUAACGCCUAGGCCCUGCCUGGGAGGGGACAAGGGGCCAGCACCAGUUGUUCAGACCUGAGUUCCUUACCGCCCUUGUGCAACAAGGAGGCUGGGACAAAUAAAUACAACUUGUAUCCCCCUUGCCACCCGAAAGACCUUUAUUCUAGAAUUUCCCCAAAGCCCUGGCUGAGCACACAGCAGCUUGUGCGAGCUGAGAAAUGUGACGGAUAGCUUGGCUGCGAGGGACAGCUGCAGAGCCUGGCGAGGGAAGCCGGAGGUAAUUGUCACCGUCCCACCCCAUUCUAGGAACUGCCACACUUCCUCCAUUUAAUCCCUCCACACCCUCAAGACAGCAAAAGAUCACCAGAUACAAGGACACAUUCCCAGCGAGAAGGGAAGCCGAGCCUUUCCCACGAGCACUGGUACUUCCUCGUUCCCUUUUCAGCCUCCUUAAACCCCACACUCCCCAGAUACCACGCACAGCCCUCAGGAUUCUGCCUGCCGAGACAUAGGACCUCUGUGGGAGGAUUGAAGCAGCCAGAGGCCAGGGUGACGGGGACUCCGGGAUCUUCUGCAUAGACAGAAGGCAGGGAGCUGGUCCCCGUGGCCGCUAGCAUCGUUCCUCACCGUCCACUGCAGUGCUCCGAGGAGCGUGGAGGCCAAGAACAGACAGGAAGGAAGAAGAAAGCUGCUCCUUGUGUUGCUAAGCCCAGGAUGCACACUGAUUGGACGAUAUUCCAAGGCCAGGCUGGAUCAGCGACAGCCAGGACUGAGCAUCCACAGUUUCCGCUAUCACAGCCUACACGGACUCCUGAGCCCCAGAUCCCUCUUUGGUGUCUCACAAGGCAUCUCAGACUUAACAUAGGCAAACUAGACCUCGUCCUCAAACAUCACAGCCAUCCAGUCCAUGCACUUACUCCAGCAAGAAACGUGAGGAUCCUGGUUCCCUGUCCUGGCCAAGGACUUCCAUCAGUCUCAAAAACACACCUAGACUCCAUUCAUUGCUGGUCCUUUGCCCACCCUCCCCCACCCCCGCCUCAUCUCUUGCAUGGUGAUAGCACACUUAUCUCUAUUUCCGUUCUUGAAGCUAAUUUACCUUGCUGUCCUGAGUUUGUUUUUAUAUACAUAUGUAUGCAUGGUGUGUGUGUGUGUGUGUGUGUGUGUGUGUGUGUGUGUGUGUGUAUGAACAAUCAUGCAUGUGCACCUGUGGAUGUCUGAGGUUGACACCUGGAGUCUUCUAUAGUUCUCCACCUUUGAUGGACUUGCGUUCCUGUCUCUGAGUCUGUGCCUGUUUCUUUGGCUUCUGUUUGUCUGUUUGUUUUGUCCUAUUCUGGUUUGUUCGUUUUAUUGUAUCAUAUUGCAUUUUACUUUUUUUUAAAGAUGGCUACUUGUUUUCUAAUGAGAGAGAGAAAGAAAGGGUGUGGAUUUGAGUGGGUGGGGAGGUUGGGGAGCAUCAGGGAGGAGUUGGGGGAGGAGGAAAAACCUUGAUAAAAAUAUAGUAUAUGAAAAAAAUCUACUUUUAAUCACCAUAUUCAUUGACACCAGAUGCUGACACAGCGGGUCUAGCUAGCUAGCUUGUUCUGGGAAGCCCCUGUGUACUUUGUGAGGAAUACUGAAAUUACAGGAGGGCCACCACGCCCACUCAAGUAUUUAUGUGGCCUCUCAAGACACAAACUCCAGUGCUCACACUGGUGAGGUAAGGGUUUUCUCCACUGGGCUAUCUCCCCGGUCCCUAAAGAUAUUUAUUUUUUUAAAGAAGGAACUUAGAACCAGCCAUUUCCCAGCCUAAAGCCUUCCAGAGCAUUCUCUCAUCCUUUUAGAGCCCGGCUGCCCUCCUGUCUCUGCAGACACAUGGACUUCCUAGAUACUGUGUAACAGCGCUGGCUGUCCUGGAACUCACUCUGUAGACCAGUCUGGCCACAAACUCAGAGAUCCGCCCACCUCUGUCUCCAAAGGCUUGAGCCACCACCACUUGGACUUUCAGACACUUCUGAGACAGGGCCUCUCAUAGCCUGGGGUGGCCUUGAACUCUUGGUCCUCUUGUGUCCCACACCCAAACUUUGGGAUUGAGUAUGGGAAUGUGCCAACAUGUCCAGCUCCCCUUUCAGACUGAAAUAAAUGAGCUAGCUCUGACCAGCCAAAACUA